CGGAGGGUGCAAGCGUUGUCCGGAUUUAUUGGGUUUAAAGGGUGCGUAGGCGGCUCUUUAAGUCAGCGGUGAAAGUCCAGAGCUUAACUCUGGGAUUGCCAUUGAUACUGAAGAGCUUGAGUAUAGUUGAGGUAGGCGGAAUUGACAGUGUAGCGGUGAAAUGCAUAGAUAUUGUCAAGAACACCGAUUGCGUAGGCAGCUUACUAAGCUAUAACUGACGCUGAGGCACGAAAGUGUGGGGAUCAAACAGGAUUAGAUACCCUGGUAGUCCACACUGUAAACGAUGAUUACUCGCUGUUGGCGAUAUACAGUCAGCGGCUUAGCGAAAGCGUUAAGUAAUCCACCUGGGGAGUACGCUCGCAAGAGUG
Molecule: ribosomal RNA, 368 nt
Filed under: uncultured organism
Description: bacterial SSU rRNA
Rfam family: Bacterial small subunit ribosomal RNA
Source: RNAcentral